GAAGUAAAAUAAAUUUGAAAAUGUCAUAUUGAUGACUGAUAAUGGUUUAAUUUAAUUAUAAACCUUUUUAUGAAACUUAAUUUUUGAUUCCUAUUUUUGAAUGAAGUAUUGAUGCAGCGCAAGAAGAUGACAGUCUUGGAAGACUAGUCAAUGAUGACCACAUCUAUCCAAACUGCAAAAUGAAGAGGGUCAUAGCAGAGGGCAAGCCACAUCUUUGUCUUUUUGCUCUGAGAGACAUUAAGGCUGGAGAAGAAAUAACGUAUGACUAUGGAGGAUCUGAUUGGCCUUGGAGAAAACAGGUUUGUAACUCUUGAAUUGUGUGAUGUAGAUUAGUGAAUGUGCAUAUUUGCUUUCAUGAGGAGAUCGGUGAAGGAUUUGUGUUUCUUUUGUGAGAUUUAUUCUGCUACUGGUUUUUUAAUCUGAGUUUUUUUAAAUCAAAUGACAGUGAUUGCUAAUGCUAAUAAGUUUGAAGGGACAAAUACAGGAAAAAAGCCUUUUCUUCAGUACAGGGACAAUAUACUUAAGCUAAAUAACCAGAAGUGUGUUCUGCCACUCUUCAGCUUUCCUUAUUCUUAAUUACAGUAGUAUAUUAGCAGACAUCUGUGCUAAAUUGAAAAUUUAAUAAUCAAAUAUAACUGACUUUUAGUUGUAUACAGAGACUAUUUAAGUUGCAUCAUCAAUUGCAUGUUUCCUGUAUACAUGUACUUCAUAUUGUGACUGAUUCAUACAAGUGUUAAUGCUGAUAUGCUAAAUACAGAUAUUGAAUUCAUUUGUCAGGCUAAAGUGCAAGAAACUGCAUCUGAUACACUGUCAUCAGAGGAGGUUCCCCAGAGUCCUUCCCCCUCCAAGAUGCAGGCUAAAGUGCAAAAUACUGCAGCUGAUACACUGUCAUCAGAGGAGGUUCCUCAGAGCCCUUCGUUCUCCGAGAUGCAGGCUAAAACACAAGAAACUAGCGCUGAUACACUGUCAUCAGAAGAGGUUCCUCAGAGCCCUUCCCUCUCCGAGAUGCAGGCUAAAACACAAGAAACUAGCGCUGAUACACUGUCAUCAGAAGAGGUUCCUCAGAGCCCUUCCCUCUCCGAGAUGCAGGCUAAAACACAAGAAACUAGCGCUGAUACACUGUCAUCAGAGGAGGUUCCUCAGAGCCCUUUGUUCUCCGAGAUGCAGGCUAAAACACAAGAAACGGGCGCUGAUACACUGUCAUCAGAGGAGGUACCUCAGAGCCCUUCCCUCUCCCAUAUGCAGAGUUUACAAGAAGCAGGAGUCUUUCAUUCAAUGAAAACUAUAAAAUCAGAACCGCUUGUGAACUACACUGAUUCUGAUGAUGAGAGUCCAUCCAUAAGUCCUGACCAAUUGAAGUCAACAUGCCAGAUGACAAGACAACUAGAUUUGGAUGAGCACUUUGACUUUACAUCCGAUCCUAGUGAAAAUGCACACGAGGACAGUGACAAUGAGGCAGCAAGUGAGUCAGAGCCACAAGAGAAUGUGGAUGAGGACAAUGACAGUGGAGCAGCAUGUGGGUCAGGGUCACAAGAGAGUGUGGAUGUACUUGACGACAGCAUCAAUGGGGCAGCAUGUAAGUCACAAGAGUGUCUGGUUAAAUGUAAUCAGACUGAAGAUGGCAAGGCUACACUGACGGAUGUCGCCAAGUUUUCAAAAGAAGGAAAUGGGAGAAUGAAGAGGUACAAGCUGUUGAAAGACAUCUGAUGCACUUCAUUACCUCAUGCCGUGUUCCAGGAAAACUUGAAAUUGAUAAGUGUCUUGGGGUUGAAAAUGUGGCGCUGAAAGACAGGGACUGGUUGUCCAUAAAGUUUUAUGUCAAGAACCGUAUAACAGCUUUGAAAAGAAAGGCCUUUGAAACUGGCCUCUGAAACACAGUUCAAUAGUAACUGUUCAAUUGUUUGUCUAAAGCAGCGUUUUUGUUUACAAUGCUGUAACUGAAUAAUUCUUAUAUUUGAAUGACUACCUUUUUUGUUCAUAUUUUUAUAAACAAAUCUUCUAUAUCAGAAUAUGAAUCUGAUCUUUUUUUUUUUUUUACAGAAGUUCAAGGUAAAUACCAGUAACUAAUGUUCAAAUAAAAUUAUGUGGCUUACACA
Betta splendens (Siamese fighting fish) is the source of this 2096-nucleotide long non-coding RNA. The record is from Ensembl. NCBI's taxonomy places the organism in Eukaryota, Metazoa, Chordata, Actinopteri, Anabantiformes, Osphronemidae.